This 456-nucleotide ribosomal RNA is filed under the name Triticum aestivum (bread wheat). RNAcentral describes it as "partial small subunit ribosomal RNA". Lineage: Eukaryota; Viridiplantae; Streptophyta; Magnoliopsida; Poales; Poaceae. The record is from RNAcentral.
AUGAGCACCGAUUCUGAUGGGUGGCGCGAGCAGAUGAUUGCUCUUAUCGGUAUGGCUCCUACCGAGGAGGGAGAAGAGAAGAAGAAGAAGAAGGAAAGGAAAGCAGCCGGAGCUGCUUUCACAUGGAUUCAAACUCACUUUGCGACGUGCCCUCCGGAUGCCACUGAUGACGUGAUCCAGACACAUGCUCGUGUCUACAUGUGGUAUGUUGUGUCGAGGACUUUGUUUCCUGACUCCACUGGCAAGAACGCUCCAUGGAUGUGGCUGAAGGCGUUGACCGUCUUCGAUAGCAAAUGGAGCUGGGGUUCAGCGACUCUUGCCUACUUGUACCGACAGGUAGUUGGUCUGUUUUGUGAUCAACUCAUUUCUUCAUUAGCAAUGCAAGCUUGCUGUCAAGUUAACAUUGUUUUUCUUUCAUAUGCAGCUGGACGAUGCGUGUUGCAGGAUCACAGAUAG